GCGCUACCAUGCAGUCGGACGGUAGCACAGAGGAGCUUGCUCCUUGGGUGACGAGUGGCGGACGGGUGAGUAAUGUCUGGGGAUCUGCCCGAUAGAGGGGGAUAACCACUGGAAACGGUGGCUAAUACCGCAUAACGUCGCAAGACCAAAGAGGGGGACCUUCGGGCCUCUCACUAUCGGAUGAACCCAGAUGGGAUUAGCUAGUAGGCGGGGUAAUGGCCCACCUAGGCGACGAUCCCUAGCUGGUCUGAGAGGAUGACCAGCCACACUGGAACUGAGACACGGUCCAGACUCCUACGGGAGGCAGCAGUGGGGAAUAUUGCACAAUGGGCGCAAGCCUGAUGCAGCCAUGCCGCGUGUAUGAAGAAGGCCUUCGGGUUGUAAAGUACUUUCAGCGGGGAGGAAGGCGGUGAGGUU
This 417-nucleotide ribosomal RNA is filed under the name uncultured bacterium. RNAcentral's name for it is "bacterial SSU rRNA". It matches the Rfam family "Bacterial small subunit ribosomal RNA", at positions 46 to 461 of the family's 1533-position model. The record is from RNAcentral.